RNAcentral lists this long non-coding RNA (2522 nucleotides) under Parus major (Great Tit). RNAcentral describes it as "lncRNA (ENSPMJG00000010049.1)". The record is from RNAcentral. Lineage: Eukaryota; Metazoa; Chordata; Aves; Passeriformes; Paridae.
GUAUAUCUGUACCUACGAAAAGCAAACCAGCAGACACGUAUCAGUGCUUCAAUAGGUAAAGAGACCUGGAGUAACUACAGAGCGCAGUAUUUCAUUUUCACACAUUUUUCCACCUUACGCUCAGUUUCCAGCCAUCAUCCCUCCUCUUCCUUCCGAUUCUCAUCUCCCGUGCCAAAAAGCAGUACAUUUCUCCCGCACUUGUUCCCAGCCCUCUCGCACAAUGACACAGCACUUCCAGCACGAUGUGCCCAGCGCCGUGACACCGGCACAGAGCCGGCCACGGGCACCACGACCGCGCUCGAUCGCGGCUCUGACGGCGCUGCCGCCCCUGCCCGGGCGGGGGCUGGGCAGGGACCCGCGAGGCACCGGGGAAGCUUCCGCGGGUCUCAGCCGGGCCCUGCGGAGCAGCACAGCGGUGUCGCGGGGAGUCGCGGGGCCCCGCGGGCAGGGCCAGCGCACAGGGCGCCCCAGUCCCGCCGCCGCUCCCGCCCGCCGCGUCCCGCCCGCCCCGGCCGGCCCAGGCCGCGGCGGUCCCGCCUGCAGGCCGCGGCCUGGCGUGCCCUGACGUCCCGUCCCGUGCCGCCCCCGCCCGGCACCUUCAGCCGGGAACUCCUCAAACUCGUCGUCCUCCUCCAGGAGUCCCAGGUCCACCGGCUGCUUCUUCUCCGACAUGCUGGGCCCGCACCGCGUCCCACCGCCCUCGCGCCUGCUGGGAUCCCGCGGCCACCGCCGCGCCUGCGCCGCUGCCGGGCCCGGCUCCGGCCCGCGCCUGCGCCCUGCCGUCCCGGCUGCUGCCGGCCCCGCCCGCCGCCGCCGGGCCCUCACCGAGCGGGCCGGGGUUCCGGUGGCCGCGGGACGUGCCGGCUCUGCCUGUGCUGCUGUUUGAGCAGCGGGAUCGUUCCUGCACCGCCUGACCGAUCUGCACAGACCGCUACCGAGCGCGGCUGUUCCCUAUCGUUAUCGCUGUGGUAUACCCAUCCUCUAUUGCCUGAAGGACCUGAACUGUGAAACAUUCUCCAAACCAGCCUGCUAGACCUUUCAGGAACAAGGCAUACCUUCAGAUUUCCACUGUGUCCAAGCUGGAUUUGACCUGGUAUGAAUGCUGAGUGUCACAACCAACAGGCUGUUUGCUGGUUGUUUGGGGAUCAAACUCCUCCAAAGUACACUCAGGUAUUUUCACUCAUGGUGGAGCAGAUUUGACAAGUAAACGACUCAGUCUGCAACAGCAAACAGCCUUCCAAGGGGAAUCUCCUGGCAGGUGGUGGAUGGGUAUGACAUACCAUAUCCCAAAUGUAUGUUCCUAACAACCAGACUACGCAUUAAGCAAAUAGAACUUAUUCUCCUGCAAGUAGCUGUUAGAAAACACUGUUUUUAGUGCCAAUCUUAUGGCUGGGAUUUCUUAACAGAGGCAUGGGAUUAAAUUAUAUUUUCUUAAGGUUUCUUCCUGGCCUUCUUAUGUAGCUUCCAGUCUGUAGGCUUUGUAUAUCCCACACUUCACUUGGCUCCAAGGAAGCAUGUGAGAAACUCACAUUUCUGCAUCUAGAAAAGGUAUCUUCAAAUUCUACAAAGCAUCACAGCAUGUAAAAAUGUGGUGAUGCCGUUUAUAGUACUCAAGCCUUCUGUGGGACCCAGGUCCAUGAAUAGUUUUCAUUCUUUAGGGAAAAUACCAUAAGGAUUCAGCUGUCCAGAACAGAUUUUCCAAUGUGGAAAAUGUGCAGGAGGGUGUCCAAGCUCCAAGUAUGAUCAGAGUUUGACGGCUUCUGGAUGGACCAUAAAGAAUAAGAGUUGUGUUUCAGUAUCUACCCUAUGCAGUCAGUGGGGAAAGGCCAUGGAUACCUCUAAGGAGCAUACUGUCAGUGAUUUUUGUCUGAUCCUUCCCCUGUGGCAGUUCCAAGACUGGAAGCAACCUUUACAGUCAUCAAGCCUGUAUUUCACAUGGACACAGGACACACAGAUCAAGGAUUAGGUUUUGAUGAAAGUAGGGAAGGCACUCCCUACAUUUCCAAAACAAUAUAAGAGAUCUGCCUUCUUGGAGCUGCAGCCUCUGCACAGCGUAUAACUGUAUGCUAAAUAGGUUGGUUUUCCAAGACCAAAAGCCUGACAGUAUUGGGUGCUUCAGCAGAGAAAUCUACAUGCCUGUUGCAUGGAAAUUAAAGGGGGAAAAUUAUUAUGGAUUUCAGUGGUUUGGGAUAUGACUAUCUCUAUUAAAACCUUUACUUAAAUAUACCCUUAACUGGUAGCAUGUAAGAAAUAAUUGAACAAGACAAUCCUGAGUAAUUCAUCAGUACCUCUAUUCUUUUCAGAGUUGCACAUCAGCUAUUUACACAAUAUGAUUUGUUUUAAUUUUUUUAUUCAGCAUGUUUUAUGCAUUAGUAUCAGAAAAGCCUGUCUUUCUCUUGGCAAAUGUUGCUCCAAGUUGUCUAGCAGGGACAUGUAUUAUGUAAAUUUAUUUAUUCAGAAUGUAAUUUGCAUAAAUGAAAAAUGGAAAUAAACACUUUUUUGAGAAUUAAAGCCUUUUUUUC